AACGAACGCUGGCGGCAUGCCUAACACAUGCAAGUCGAACGACACCUUCGGGUCUAGUGGCGCACGGGUGCGUAACGCGUGGGAACCGGCCCUUAGGUUCGGAAUAACUCCCCGAAAGGGGUGCUAAUACCGGAUAAUGUCUUCGGACCAAAGAUUUAUCGCCUUUGGAUGGGCCCGCGUUGGAUUAGCUAGUUGGUAGGGUAAAAGCCUAUCAAGGCGACGAUCCAUAGCUGGUCUGAGAGGAUGAUCAGCCACACUGGGACUGAGACACGGCCCAGACUCCUACGCGAGGCAGCAGUGGGGAAUAUUGGACAAUGGGCGAAAGGCUGAUCCAGCAAUGCCGCGUGAGUGAUGAAGGUCUUAGGGUUGUAAAGCUCUUUUACCCGGGAUGAUAAUGACAGUACCGGGAGAAUAAGCACCGGCUAACUCCGUG
This 433-nucleotide ribosomal RNA is filed under the name uncultured bacterium. Its description in RNAcentral is "partial 16S ribosomal RNA". It matches the Rfam family "Bacterial small subunit ribosomal RNA", at positions 29 to 507 of the family's 1533-position model. The record is from RNAcentral.